UACGUAGGGAGCAAGCGUUGUCCGGAAUCAUUGGGCGUAAAGGGCGCGUAGGCGGCUUGGCAAGUGGAAGGUGAAAUCCCUCGGCUUAACCGAGGAACUGCCCUCCAAACUGCUUUGCUUGAGGCCGGGAGAGGUGAGUGGAAUUCCCAGUGUAGCGGUGAAAUGCGUAGAUAUUGGGAGGAACACCAGUGGCGAAGGCGGCUCACUGGACCGGUUCUGACGCUGAGGCGCGAAAGCGUGGGGAGCAAACGGG
This 253-nucleotide ribosomal RNA is filed under the name uncultured bacterium. Its description in RNAcentral is "partial 16S ribosomal RNA". It matches the Rfam family "Bacterial small subunit ribosomal RNA", at positions 524 to 776 of the family's 1533-position model. The record is from RNAcentral.